AUGCAGCCAAGGAUGACUUGCCGGCGUUUGCUUAGUGACCUAUCUAGAUUUGGCAUAUACCUCAAGCCGGCAAGCUGUUCUUGGCUACAU
This 90-nucleotide microRNA precursor is filed under the name Manihot esculenta (cassava). The record is from RNAcentral. Lineage: Eukaryota; Viridiplantae; Streptophyta; Magnoliopsida; Malpighiales; Euphorbiaceae.